GGGCGGAUAGCUCAGUAGGGAGAGCGCCGGCCUUACAAGCCGGAGGUCGCAGGUUCAAUCCCUGUUCCGCCUACCA
Molecule: transfer RNA, 76 nt
Filed under: Deltaproteobacteria bacterium
Lineage: Bacteria; Pseudomonadati; Myxococcota; Myxococcia
Description: tRNA-Val
Rfam family: tRNA
About the family: Transfer RNA (tRNA) molecules are approximately 80 nucleotides in length.
Source: RNAcentral